UUAUCAGUUAUAAAUAUGCAGUUAAUAACCAAUCCAAUCAUUUUAUUGAUUUUGAAUCACAAAACCUCCACUCAUACUUCUAUGUUGCCCUGACACCACAGAACAAGAAAAAUAAACGUAACUUGGGCCAUCCAAUCAAAACCAGCAGAGCACCAGAGCAUGAAAUUCUGUCUGCCCCUUUCACUGCAGGCUGCUUUUGUCUUUGCCCUACAACAAACCCCAG
Molecule: long non-coding RNA, 223 nt
Filed under: Homo sapiens (human)
Lineage: Eukaryota; Metazoa; Chordata; Mammalia; Primates; Hominidae
Description: HSALNT0250898
Source: RNAcentral